UUAAGCGACUAAGCGUACACGGUGGAUGCCCUGGCAGUCAGAGGCGAUGAAGGACGUGCUAAUCUGCGAAAAGCGUCGGUAAGGUGAUAUGAACCGUUAUAACCGGCGAUGUCCGAAUGGGGAAACCCAGUGUGAUUCGUCACACUAUCGUUAACUGAAUACAUAGGUUAACGAGGCGAACCGGGGGAACUGAAACAUCUAAGUACCCCGAGGAAAAGAAAUCAACCGAGAUUCCCCCAGUAGCGGCGAGCGAACGGGGAGCAGCCCAGAGUCUGAAUCAGCUUGUGUGUUAGUGGAACGGUCUGGAAAGUCCGACGGUACAGGGUGAUAGUCCCGUACACCAAAAUGCACAGGCUGUGAACUCGAAGAGUAGGGCGGGACACGUGGUAUCCUGUCUGAAUAUGGGGGGACCAUCCUCCAAGGCUAAAUACUCCUGACUGACCGAUAGUGAACCAGUACCGUGAGGGAAAGGCGAAAAGAACCCCGGCGAGGGGAGUGAAAAAGAACCUGAAACCGUGUACGUACAAGCAGUGGGAGCACCUUCGGGUGUGACUGCGUACCUUUUGUAUAAUGGGUCAGCGACUUAUAUUCUGUAGCAAGGUUAACCGUAUAGGGGAGCCGCAGGGAAACCGAGUCUUAACUGGGCGUUAAGUUGCAGGGUAUAGACCCGAAACCCGGUGAUCUAGCCAUGGGCAGGUUGAAGGUUGGGUAACACUAACUGGAGGACCGAACCGACUAAUGUUGAAAAAUUAGCGGAUGACUUGUGGCUGGGGGUGAAAGGCCAAUCAAACCGGGAGAUAGCUGGUUCUCCCCGAAAGCUAUUUAGGUAGCGCCUCGUGAACUCAUCUUCGGGGGUAGAGCACUGUUUCGGCUAGGGGGUCAUCCCGACUUACCAACCCGAUGCAAACUACGAAUACCGAAGAAUGUUAUCACGGGAGACACACGGCGGGUGCUAACGUCCGUCGUGAAGAGGGAAACAACCCAGACCGCCAGCUAAGGUCCCAAAGUCAUGGUUAAGUGGGAAACGAUGUGGGAAGGCACAGACAGCCAGGAUGUUGGCUUAGAAGCAGCCAUCAUUUAAAGAAAGCGUAAUAGCUCACUGGUCGAGUCGGCCUGCGCGGAAGAUGUAACGGGGCUAAACCAUGCACCGAAGCUGCGGCAGCGACACUAUGUGUUGUUGGGUAGGGGAGCGUUCUGUAAGCCUGCGAAGGUGUGCUGUGAGGCAUGCUGGAGGUAUCAGAAGUGCGAAUGCUGACAUAAGUAACGAUAAAGCGGGUGAAAAGCCCGCUCGCCGGAAGACCAAGGGUUCCUGUCCAACGUUAAUCGGGGCAGGGUGAGUCGACCCCUAAGGCGAGGCCGAAAGGCGUAGUCGAUGGGAAACAGGUUAAUAUUCCUGUACUUGGUGUUACUGCGAAGGGGGGACGGAGAAGGCUAUGUUAGCCGGGCGACGGUUGUCCCGGUUUAAGCAUGUAGGCUGGUUGUCCAGGCAAAUCCGGAUAAUCAAGGCUGAGGUGUGAUGACGAGGCACUACGGUGCUGAAGUAACAAAUGCCCUGCUUCCAGGAAAAGCCUCUAAGCAUCAGGUAACAUCAAAUCGUACCCCAAACCGACACAGGUGGUCAGGUAGAGAAUACCAAGGCGCUUGAGAGAACUCGGGUGAAGGAACUAGGCAAAAUGGUGCCGUAACUUCGGGAGAAGGCACGCUGGUGUGUAGGUGAAGUCCCUGCGGAUGGAGCUGAGACCAGUCGAAGAUACCAGCUGGCUGCAACUGUUUAUUAAAAACACAGCACUGUGCAAACACGAAAGUGGACGUAUACGGUGUGACGCCUGCCCGGUGCCGGAAGGUUAAUUGAUGGGGUUAUCCGUAAGGAGAAGCUCUUGAUCGAAGCCCCGGUAAACGGCGGCCGUAACUAUAACGGUCCUAAGGUAGCGAAAUUCCUUGUCGGGUAAGUUCCGACCUGCACGAAUGGCGUAAUGAUGGCCAGGCUGUCUCCACCCGAGACUCAGUGAAAUUGAACUCGCUGUGAAGAUGCAGUGUACCCGCGGCAAGACGGAAAGACCCCGUGAACCUUUACUAUAGCUUGACACUGAACAUUGAGCCUUGAUGUGUAGGAUAGGUGGGAGGCUUUGAAGCGUGGACGCCAGUCUGCGUGGAGCCAACCUUGAAAUACCACCCUUUAAUGUUUGAUGUUCUAACGUUGGCCCCUGACCGGGGUUGCGGACAGUGUCUGGUGGGUAGUUUGACUGGGGCGGUCUCCUCCCAAAGCGUAACGGAGGAGCACGAAGGUUAGCUAAUCCUGGUCGGACAUCAGGAGGUUAGUGCAAUGGCAUAAGCUAGCUUGACUGCGAGCGUGACGGCGCGAGCAGGUGCGAAAGCAGGUCAUAGUGAUCCGGUGGUUCUGAAUGGAAGGGCCAUCGCUCAACGGAUAAAAGGUACUCCGGGGAUAACAGGCUGAUACCGCCCAAGAGUUCAUAUCGACGGCGGUGUUUGGCACCUCGAUGUCGGCUCAUCACAUCCUGGGGCUGAAGUAGGUCCCAAGGGUAUGGCUGUUCGCCAUUUAAAGUGGUACGCGAGCUGGGUUUAGAACGUCGUGAGACAGUUCGGUCCCUAUCUGCCGUGGGCGCUGGAGAAUUGAGGGGGGCUGCUCCUAGUACGAGAGGACCGGAGUGGACGCAUCACUGGUGUUCGGGUUGUCAUGCCAAUGGCACUGCCCGGUAGCUAAAUGCGGAAGAGAUAAGUGCUGAAAGCAUCUAAGCACGAAACUUGCCCCGAGAUGAGUUCUCCCUGAGACUAUAAGUCUCCUGAAGGAACGUUAAAGACGAUGACGUUGAUAGGCCGGGUGUGUAAGCGCAGCGAUGCGUUGAGCUAACCGGUACUAAUGAACCGUGAGGCUUAACCUU
RNAcentral lists this ribosomal RNA (2900 nucleotides) under Klebsiella pneumoniae BIDMC 31. RNAcentral's name for it is "bacterial LSU rRNA". It matches the Rfam family "Bacterial large subunit ribosomal RNA". The record is from RNAcentral. Lineage: Bacteria; Pseudomonadati; Pseudomonadota; Gammaproteobacteria; Enterobacterales; Enterobacteriaceae.